This 301-nucleotide ribosomal RNA is filed under the name uncultured bacterium. Its description in RNAcentral is "partial 16S ribosomal RNA". It matches the Rfam family "Bacterial small subunit ribosomal RNA", at positions 509 to 807 of the family's 1533-position model. The record is from RNAcentral.
CAGUAGCCGCGGUAAUACAGAGGGUGCAAGCGUUAAUCGGAUUUACUGGGCGUAAAGCGUGCGUAGGCGGCUUUUUAAGUCGGAUGUGAAAUCCCUGAGCUUAACUUAGGAAUUGCAUUCGAUACUGGGAAGCUAGAGUAUGGGAGAGGAUGGUAGAAUUCCAGGUGUAGCGGUGAAAUGCGUAGAGAUCUGGAGGAAUACCGAUGGCGAAGGCAGCCAUCUGGCCUAAUACUGACGCUGAGGUACGAAAGCAUGGGGAGCAAACAGGAUUAGAUACCCGCGUAGUCCCUGUCUCUUAUAC